GUUCCAUUAGCUCAGUUGGUUCCGUAAGGCUUAGAGAGCAUCCGACUUUUAAUCGGAGGGUCACGGGUUCGAGUCCCGUAUGGAACACCA
This 90-nucleotide transfer RNA is filed under the name Ackermannviridae sp. RNAcentral's name for it is "tRNA-Lys". It matches the Rfam family "tRNA". From Rfam's summary of the family: Transfer RNA (tRNA) molecules are approximately 80 nucleotides in length. Their secondary structure includes four short double-helical elements and three loops (D, anti-codon, and T loops). Further hydrogen bonds mediate the characteristic L-shaped molecular structure. tRNAs have two regions of fundamental functional importance: the anti-codon, which is responsible for specific mRNA codon recognition, and the 3' end, to which the tRNAs corresponding amino acid is attached (by aminoacyl-tRNA synthetases). tRNAs cope with the degeneracy of the genetic code in two manners: having more than one tRNA (with a specific anti-codon) for a particular amino acid; and 'wobble' base-pairing, i.e. permitting non-standard base-pairing at the 3rd anti-codon position. Lineage: Duplodnaviria; Heunggongvirae; Uroviricota; Caudoviricetes; Pantevenvirales; Ackermannviridae. The record is from RNAcentral.